AGAAGAAUAACAGGGCAAUUUCUUCUUUGGCAGAAUUAUAUCACAUAAUGUAAGACAUAUGAUUAAUGUCUCUGCCAAAGAAGAAUUGCCCUGCCAUUCCACU
Non-coding RNA from Beta vulgaris subsp. vulgaris (sugar beet), 103 nucleotides. Lineage: Eukaryota; Viridiplantae; Streptophyta; Magnoliopsida; Caryophyllales; Amaranthaceae. The record is from Rfam.